CUACUUGGAAUAGCUCCAUUUCCUCACCAUUUGGUCUUUGAUUCAUGCACAGAUAAUUGCCGCCAUCUUUCUCAGUCAGUCUCAGAAUUCUCAAAGUGCCAUUGGGGAAAGCAGUGAUGUGUCUUUGUGGACUGAGAAAAAAUAGAAAAUAAAUUGUUUACACUUUUAUAUGACAGUUAGACAUAGUUUACUUAUGAUUAAAUGGGUUCACAAAACUCGUAGUUGCAGUAAUUUUAGCCCUUGUCAUAAUAAUGACUAAAGAAAUUAUUGUUAUCAAAAAAGCAUUUGAAACAAACAAAUUGUUCUUUUGUUCACACUUAUUCACUGUAUUGUCUAGAUCAGCAGCGGUUGUUUGGGGUUUCUAGACUGAGAAAGAUGCUUAUUUAAUCUACACCACACUUUGUUAGAAGUGAUGUAGUUGGCCUGCUGUGAGUUUGCGAGAGAACACACUGUGGUAAUAGUGUGGGACAAUAAUUGCUCAGAAGAGAAAAGUAAAACUUUUAAGGCUCGUUUACAAGACAACGAUGUAGUAAAAAUACCCCAAAAACAUUUAAGUUUCACCGAAACACACAAUGUCAAUGUUAAACUGAUCUUUAUACACACAGAUGUGUGAAAACCAGUAAAAUACUGUAUUAUGGAUGCCAGGUCAGUAAUUGAUGUUAACAAAGAAAUGACAUGACGUCACAGUAUUUACAAAUUUGUGUUUUCACAGUUUACACAGAGACAAUAUCAGCAUCGUUUAAAAACAAAUAGUACUUUGAAACCUGUUUUGAAAGUGUUUUCAGUAUCCAAAACAGCCAGUGUUUUGUAAACAAAUACAUACACUGUAACGAAUUGCUGUAAAAACUACAGCGUUAUUUUACAGAAGCUGACUGUUUUUUAAAUAAUACAGAAUAUUGCUGUAAAUGCAAUGCAUUCUGGGGUCACGUGACGGAUUAACUCAAAUGUACAGAACAUUGCUGUAAAUUUCAAAUCUACAAUGGCGGGAUGAUCUUCAACAGUCGAGAUUGGGGUAGUGCGCAAAAUGAGUGAUUCACACCUGUGGUAAGUCAUUUAUUACGUUUUUUUCCAUAUUUGGUAACUAUCAUACUGGUAACUUUAUAUAGAGCUAUCUACAUUCGCGUUUAACAUUGGUAGCCCCGGAUUCAACCUCCAUCCGCGGGGACCGAAGGAGUCUUGCGCAGGGUUUCAGCAGCGCCGUCGCGGUAAGAUUUCAAACAUUCUCCGUCGCUAUAGCACCUGAGGACAGAAGUUGUUCAUGUUAUUUAGAGUUUUUGUACAAAUCAGGAGCGAAGUCGGUAUGUGACGAGCUACAGUUCAUUGUAUUAGUAAGUUGACGGUUGUUUUUUUAAUGUUGAACAUCGCGCCCGCCGUAGACACGGUAAAAAUUACAUGCUUCGACAGUUGGGAUACCACACUCGGUCGUGAUUAUUUUGUGGUGUAAUUCAAAUUUGCAAAUGCAGUUACUCGUAAAUCGAGAGACCAAAUUAAAACGAGUCACCAAAGCUUGCGGUUUGUCGUUGUUCACGGAGGAUAGCCCGGUAAAGUGAUUAAUGUACGUUUCCAGCUAGAUAUACAGUAUAUGUAAGAGAGGCCAGAUGAGAGCUGUAGCAAAAGACGUUAGCGACACCCUCAUCGUUAGAGCAGGACUGUCUCCCAGAUAGGACCGUUGGAGGAUGGGAGUGAGACGGUCCGUUACAAAAUACUAGUGUGACAAUUUCUUGACCGUGACAUCCCUAACGUUAGUUGGAUUACAUUUCUGUAUAAGUACGGUUUUAAGUGUAAAUUACUCUGUGUAAUUUGCUUAGAGUUUGUUUGUAUAGUCACUUAAGUACUAAAAUGUAGUUUAAAUGUAAAAAGCUUAAAGAUAAAAUUGUAUAGUAACUAUUAACUAUUGUCAUGUGUGGUAUUGUUUGUUUUAAGACACACUUUCCCAUGCAGGCCACUGGAUGCUGACUACUGAAGGUUAGGUUGUGUGUGACUGUGACGUGCUCAGCACAGCUUCAUGUCUGGCCUUCCCACUCUGUUCAUAGCACGUUACAUGUUCAAUCUUGAGUACCAGGAUGGGGCAGCGUGUAUCUUGGAGUCCACUGAAAGAUAUUAAUCCAGAGAGUGGAACAAGAAGAAGCGUCAUCUAAAAUGCCAGGAUACAGAAGAAACAGGUUGCAGUGAACCCACAUGUUGCCGCUCUACACAAUGAUGAAUUUUCAUUGUAAUCGAUGAAAAUUCUAGCUACUUGUUGUGCUCUGAUGGAUCAAGAUGUGGACCGUUUUACAGACUCACUUGGGCCUUGUUUUG
Long non-coding RNA from Triplophysa dalaica, 2298 nucleotides. RefSeq lists it as uncharacterized. Lineage: Eukaryota; Metazoa; Chordata; Actinopteri; Cypriniformes; Nemacheilidae. The transcript has 3 exons. The record is from RefSeq and is a predicted model, not a curated record.